RNAcentral lists this transfer RNA (71 nucleotides) under Candidatus Niyogiibacteriota bacterium. Its description in RNAcentral is "Candidatus Niyogibacteria bacterium tRNA-His". It matches the Rfam family "tRNA". From Rfam's summary of the family: Transfer RNA (tRNA) molecules are approximately 80 nucleotides in length. Their secondary structure includes four short double-helical elements and three loops (D, anti-codon, and T loops). Further hydrogen bonds mediate the characteristic L-shaped molecular structure. tRNAs have two regions of fundamental functional importance: the anti-codon, which is responsible for specific mRNA codon recognition, and the 3' end, to which the tRNAs corresponding amino acid is attached (by aminoacyl-tRNA synthetases). tRNAs cope with the degeneracy of the genetic code in two manners: having more than one tRNA (with a specific anti-codon) for a particular amino acid; and 'wobble' base-pairing, i.e. permitting non-standard base-pairing at the 3rd anti-codon position. Lineage: Bacteria; Candidatus Niyogiibacteriota. The record is from RNAcentral.
GUGCCUAUGGUGUAGCGGUAACACGGUUCCCUGUGGAGGAAUUAUCGAGGGUUCGAAUCCCUCUAGGCACC